RNAcentral lists this ribosomal RNA (497 nucleotides) under uncultured bacterium. Its description in RNAcentral is "partial 16S ribosomal RNA". It matches the Rfam family "Bacterial small subunit ribosomal RNA", at positions 28 to 507 of the family's 1533-position model. The record is from RNAcentral.
GAUGAACGCUGGCGGCGUGCCUAAUACAUGCAAGUCGAGCGAACAGACGAGGAGCUUGCUCCUCUGACGUUAGCGGCGGACGGGUGAGUAACACGUGGAUAACCUACCUAUAAGACUGGGAUAACGUCGGGAAACCGGAGCUAAUACCGGAUAAUAUAUUGAACCGCAUGGUUCAAUAGUGAAAGAUGGUUUUGCUGUCACUUAUAGAUGGAUCCGCGCCGCAUUAGCUAGUUGGUAAGGUAACGGCUUACCAAGGCAACGAUGCGUAGCCGACCUGAGAGGGUGAUCGGCCACACUGGAACUGAGACACGGUCCAGACUCCUACGGGAGGCAGCAGUAGGGAAUCUUCCGCAAUGGGCGAAAGCCUGACGGAGCAACGCCGCGUGAGUGAUGAAGGUCUUCGGAUCGUAAAACUCUGUUAUUAGGGAAGAACAAAUGUGUAAGUAACUAUGCACGUCUUGACGGUACCUAAUCAGAAAGCCACGGCUAACUACGUG